UUGAAAGGGAAACGAUUGAAGUCAGUCGUACCAGCGGGAAAUCAACCUUUCGGGUGGGAUUUUGGAGUUUUGAAGAGUGUUAAAACCUUUGAGAUUUCAAAAUGUUCGCUCUUUUGGUGUACUUUCUCGUAGGUAGGUUAACAUCGAUUUUGAUCAUCAUAAAAGGAUUGGAGGAAUGUAGCUUCGAUCUCGUAUUGAAGUGUUAUAGCCUUUGGUAAAUGUGAUGAUUAGGAUCGAGGAUUGCAACGAAUACCCUUUUGGGCUAUCCGCCUGAUCUCUGAUACGUGGCCUUGGUAUUGAAAGCGUGCUUAUGAUAUUAAGGUAUUACGGUCAAAAGGUUAGAACGGAUUACAUUCGUUAAGGAUGUUGACGUA
This 374-nucleotide ribosomal RNA is filed under the name uncultured Glomeromycotina. RNAcentral describes it as "LSU rRNA". The record is from RNAcentral. Lineage: Eukaryota; Fungi; Glomeromycota.